Molecule: ribosomal RNA, 274 nt
Filed under: uncultured Staphylococcus sp.
Lineage: Bacteria; Bacillati; Bacillota; Bacilli; Caryophanales; Staphylococcaceae
Description: partial 16S ribosomal RNA
Rfam family: Bacterial small subunit ribosomal RNA
Source: RNAcentral
AUGUUAGCGGCGGACGGGUGAGUAACACGUGGGUAACCUACCUAUAAGACUGGGAUAACUCCGGGAAACCGGGGCUAAUACCGGAUAANAUUUUGAACCGCAUGGUUCAAUAGUGAAAGACGGUUUCGGCUGUCACUUAUAGAUGGACCCGCGCCGUAUUAGCUAGUUGGUAAGGUAACGGCUUACCAAGUCGACGAUACGUAGCCGACCUGAGAGGGUGAUCGGCCACACUGGAACUGAGACACGGUCCAGACUCCUACGGGAGGCAGCAGCU